AUGCUCGCUUCGGCAGCACAUAUACUAAAAUUGGAACGACACAGAGAAGAUUAGCAUGGCCCCUGCACAAGGACGACACGCAAAUUCAUGAAGCGUUCCGUAUUUUU
This 107-nucleotide small nuclear RNA is filed under the name Catagonus wagneri (Chacoan peccary). The record is from RNAcentral. Lineage: Eukaryota; Metazoa; Chordata; Mammalia; Artiodactyla; Tayassuidae.